AUAGCGUAUAUUAAAGUUGUUGCAGUUAAAAAGCUCGUAGUUGAAACUUGGGCCUGGCUGGCAGGUCCGCCUCACCGCGUGUACUUGUCCGGCCGGGCCUUUCCUUCUGGAGAACCUCAUGCCCUUCACUGGGUGUGUUGGGGAACCAGGACUUUUACUUUGAAAAAAUUAGAGUGUUCAAAGCAGGCCUUUGCUCGAAUACGUUAGCAUGGAAUAAUAGAAUAGGACGGCCUUCCUAUUUUGUUGGUUUCUAGGAGUGCCGUAAUGAUUAAUAGGGAUAGUUGGGGGCAUCUGUAUUCAAUUGUCAGAGGUGAAAUUCUUGGAUUUAUUGAAGACAAACUACUG
This 345-nucleotide ribosomal RNA is filed under the name uncultured eukaryote. Its description in RNAcentral is "SSU rRNA". It matches the Rfam family "Eukaryotic small subunit ribosomal RNA", at positions 594 to 945 of the family's 1831-position model. The record is from RNAcentral.